CAUCUCAUCCUCUGUCAGCCCCUUCUCCUCCUGCCUUCAGCCUUUCCCAGCAUCAGGAUCUUUUCAAAUAAGUCAGCUCUUUGCAUCAGAUGGCCAAAGAGUUGGAGUUUCAGUUUCAGCAUCCGUCCUUGCCUUGGCUCCUCUCAAAGCCUUGCUGCACUUUCCCACGCACGUCCCCUGCCUGCACAGCUGCAAGUCAACCCCCUACCGAGGCAGUGCUUCUUUGGGGGCCUCUCCCUGCAGAGUUCCCCAGUGUUCCCCAAACCCCAGUUCUUUGGCUGGAAAGUCCUGGUUCAGCUGAGUCUUAGAUCCAGCCCUCUCCCUCCCAAGUUGCUCAGGACUGGGUGGAUUUCAAGGUGUAUGGCAAGAGAAAAAAAGAAGAAAAAUAAGCAAGGUCCUCCCCUUCCCCCCCGCAAAUCCUCUGGGAUGCAGGAGCCAAUGUCCCAGUUACCCAGAGAGAGGUGGUUUUUUUCUGGGCAUUUUAGGCGCUUCCCCCGUGGCUGAGACUAGCUUCGCAGUUGGAGCCCCUGUGGGGCAGGUCCAGGAGACAGAAGGGGAAAGAGACCCCGGGUACUGGACCCUCUGCCUCUCGGAGCCCCUUCCGUGCCUCCUGGCUCCCUGGGAUUCUGAGCCCGGCUCAUGGGGCGGAGCCGAGGUGGAGGAGGGAGGAGGUGCAGCCGCAUCCAGGGCCAGCUGCUCCCUUCUUGCCCCCUCUUUCUGGCAGCGCUGCUUCAUGGGGUCCUGCACGGCUGUCUGGGUCCCAUCCGGGCGUCCAGCUCUGAUCAGGGCAGGACAGCUCAGGGGGACCCGCUCCCUCUCAGCUGGCCCCAGAGGCGACUCCUCAUCUUUGUUAAGAAGGAGAAAGGGAAGGAGUGAAUCUGGGGGGUAGGUAGGCUCUCUGUAGAGAUGAGUGGACCCCGCUUUCUUCUCUUGCGAGACUGAAGUUCCGUGUGGGUUGGCACGAGGUAUUUUCGUGUUUUCUCUUCCUCUGAUGUGCUUCCUGAAGAAGGGGAUGGGUCCGGUAGCAGAGAUGUGGGGGCGAGGCAGCGGACGCGCUGCUCCGGGUUCAGAGGCUCACCUGCGUCACGGGGGCCUCGCAACUGAGGCCCAGGCCUGUGCGGUGCCCGGUUCCGCGUCCCACAGGCCUCGUCCUUCCUGCUGCCGGGAAGUUCUCACUGCCGGCUGAACACGGAGGGUCAGCAAGGCCUCCGUGGCCUGUCUGGUCCAGCCACACGUCGGAGGAACCCUGGGUCCCUGGGGCCUCGUCAGCCCGUGGCGUGAGCGGCAGCGGGUGUGGCCCUGGGCUGAGACCUGCAGACGUCUGCGGUGCACCAGGAUGUCUACCCUGACGGACCCCGCCUUACUGGGCCAUCGCAACCCCUCCCUGCGUUGACCCCUGGGGAAAACAGCGGACUCCGAUGCACUGCUUUCCAUCUCAUCUCAGUUUAGCCCCAGCUGAUCGGGCACAUGAGUUUGACCCCUUAGUCUUGCGUUUUUUUCCUUGGCACAGCAGCAUGGUGAGAUAAGCUGCAGGAAUCUCUGGAAGGUUUUGAACUCCUCGGAGCAAAGACUCCCUAAGACAAGGUCUUAUUAUUCUCGUAAUUUUGAGGCAAGUACCAAUCUGCCAAGUACACAGAGAAAAAUUAUUCAUCAUCCCUUAACUUGGACAGGACGUAAGUACCGCCUUUGCCAUUGGGAUCUGCGGAUCAUUAAAAAGCAUGGAGCUCUGCCUGCCAAUCCCCACCCACCCCCCCAUCACCGCCGCGCCCUUGAGUCCCACCCUUCAGGGGCAUCGAGCCCGCCACAGCCGUCGGGAGCCCAAGACAUGGAUCUGCUUGGGGCGAGCCUGGCACGUGUGGGCCGUCCCUGCUACUGGUGAGACACAGGUUCAUUAGGCCAGGCAGGCCUGGCAGGGAAGACCACGCCACCCGCGAUUUGAUGAGUGAGGUGCUUACCGUGUUUGGAAGCUCCUUAAAGAAGCCAGGUGCUGAAAGUGAUCAGAGAACCGCUCACCAGCCUGGUCACGUGAGAUGCAGCCACAUGCGCUCAGCUCGAUGCCAGGCGUCCCGGGGCACGGCCGCCCCCGCCUCCUGUGAGAUGUGCUCAGCUCGAUGCCAGGCGUCGUGGGGCAUGGCCGCCCCCACCUCCUGUGAGAGGGUCCAGGCUGCGGGCCGUCAUUGCCCUGGGGUGGCCCUCGGUCCCGAUGACUGCAAGUCCCUGGGUAGUUCAUUCUGUGUCCCUCCCUCUUCAGACCCAGCCAGACCCACAGCGUCAGGACCUUGGGGUGGGGGGUAGGAGAAGAAAUCCGAGUCCCCCCCUUUAUUUUGGGUUAGUGUCUUAGUUUGGUGUAGCUGAGGAUGCUCACUGAUCGUAAGAGAUAACGCAGAGAGCCGCCUCCUCCAUACUCUCUGCCCGGUUUCCCUCAGGCCUGGCAGGCCUACAGUCAGUCUCGCACCUGGAUGGGGACGUGGAUGCCGCCCCGUGGUCUCCUUCCCACGUCCCUGGUCUCCUCUGGGCUCGUCUGUAGCACCUCACACAGGUCAGAAUGGCCGUCAUCAAAACACACCUACACAGAGUAAGUGCUGGAGAGGGUGUGGGAAGAGGGAGCCCUCCUGCACAGUGGAGGGAAUGUGAGCUGAGGCAGCCCCUGUGGAGACCCUAGGAAUAAACCCCCCUGUGACCUGCGGCCUAGAUGUCCAUCGCGUUCUCAGUGGUCUCACCCCGUGUAUCUGCCCCUGCCUCCUGGCUGGGAGACGUCUCCACCCCUGUCUGCAGUACCCAGAGCACCCUGAGGAUGGGGGACGGACCCCAUGAGGCUUUGCUGAGCGAACCAUCUGGCGCCCGUGGGUGAGGGCUGAAUCAGAGUGAUCAGGAUGCACUUGGCAAAAUAUGAGAGACCCUGCAGAUAUCUCAUCCGGCCACACGGUGUGAGACAGUGUGCGGUGAGCCUCUUCUGACUGGAGGCGUGGGUCUGUCUUGACGUCCAUCUGCGUGUGUGACGUGAGACAGAUGCAGGUGGGUCUGCGUGAAAUCAUUAAAAUUUAAGGCCAUUCAAAGCGUCUCCAGGUACCCACUGCCGGGACUGACACCGGGCUACUUUUGUUGAGUUCCACUGAAGUCGGGGACCGUCGGCGGACGUGUCCCUCUGCAGAUGCUCUGGGCACGCUGGGAUCUGGUCUCUCUUUACCACUCCCCAGGGAAGGGAACCCCUGGGACCCGUAUGGGAGGCUUAAUCAGUCACCCGGCUUCAUGAGGGUUUGGACCAAAACAGCUCGAACUCAGGUCCUGUAGGAACAGGGCAUGGAGCGCAGACCUCUGUGUCCUAUCCACGUCCAGCAGCGUUUUCCCAGCGAGGGGCCCCUUGCCUCCUGCAACUGAUCCGGCGGCAGUUGUUGAUAGUAACUUGGUGGUCGUGUGGUGUCUGGAGACGGCUCAGAUGUGCUUCCAGGAGCCCUGCCUUUGGAGCCGAGCAGACACAGGUUCAAAUCCUGGUCACACUGUCCUCAAACCCCAAACUCUGUGCAUCAGUUUCCUUUUUGUGCAUUUUCAGCAAGGAUGCUCUUUCUUUCCUGGGGAGCGUGAAAUGAGAGCGCUUAUGAAAAGGCCAGCGCCGUGCUUGGUCUAUAGUUGAAAGAGGUCUCCAGGUUUCCCACCCUCAACUGGUAGGAACCAGAAAUCACGGCCCAAUAAUUUCUGGAGCAUUUAGUACGAGGCAGAGCCAGAGGCAGCGUGGGUCAGCUCAGGGGCAGCCCGGCCCACACGGGUGCUGGCACCACCCAGGACUCAUGAGACCUUCCAGUGGUCGGAAGGAUAGAGAAGCUGGGUCAUCCUCUGUCGUGAGGAAGAGGAGCUCACAGUUUCAGGGGAAAACCUCCCUAACAAGCGUGCACCCGGCGUGGUCUGCAGAAACCAGGGCCGGUCUCGACCACCGGCCGUGUAAGGAGGGACCGCCCCUGGAGUUAGCCCUGGGACCCUCUCUUCUGACGGAGGACGUCUGACCCGGAGGCCGCCCGGUGCACGGUGUCAGGACUCACGCCCCAGAUGCCGGCCUGUGGGCGGGGCAGGUGGGGUGGACACGUCUUCCCUCCGGCGUCCGUGUGGGCGGGUCCCGAGGGCAGGCGCGUCCGCGUGCAUGACGUCAUGCUGCGUCAUGCCGCGCCCCACGCCGCCCCGACUCCCGCUCUGCGGAGGCGGACCCCGGUAGGUGGGUGCCCCUUCUGAGGGACCCCGCGAGCGCCCUGCUCCUUGCCCGAGGAGCAGAUGGUCCAGGCUUAGGAGAGGAGCCAGGUGGCCGCUCCUCCUGGAGACCCGCUUCCUGUCCAGCCAGCGCCAGCACACCAAAGACCAAUCCUGCGGAGGAGGCCAUUCGCCUUCCUGAAGAGGAAACUGCGGAAGCAAGGACACAGACCAAGACAGCUGUUCUGAGCAGUGUGUUCGCGUGUGCGCUCUGUCCCCGCAGGAGCCACAGGAGAAGUGGGCGCCGUGGGCUCCUGGAGGACGCCGGGCCCAGGGUCCGUGUGCGGCCACGUCCAUCAGAAGCUCCAGCGAGGGCACCGGCCGCCGCUGCACCCUGGGCGGGCGUCUCCCCGAUCCCAUGGGAAGGCACCCGGACGCGGCUUUCUGACUUAGACAUGAGACUGUCGGCCCCGGUCAGGCGGGGAUGGGUGCUCUGCCCACCCUGGUGUUCGGUUCCUGGGGUGGCUGACCAUCUGGGAAGAGGCCAUGUGCCCUCAGCUGUCCCCAAGCCGCCGAGCACCUGCGCCUCCCGCCGCCCAGCUCACCCCAGCCCGGCUCCAGGGCCACUGUCCGGCACCCUUCAUCAAGGAGUCAACCUCUGUUUGCAAUCAAUCAAGUCCAAGACAGCGACCUGUGGACGGGGCCUUAUUUCCUUUCCUUGACUGAUGACAAUAGACAAUUGAUUUCCUGUCUAAAGCUGGGUACUUCAACGAAAUUAAAAGAGUCAUAUCUCUACGGAGAAUAAUAUUCUAAUCUCGCUCACCCCAUCGCCAGCAGGAGGCCCGCGUUUCAUGUCUCUGGAAGCAGCCUUUCAUUUCCUGUCGGCUCAAACCCCGCUGCUCCUGGGACUGAGGCUGUGAUGCUCACCGCUGCUGUGUGUGACUCACAUGACCUCCUCCCUGACCCACUCAACCCCUCUCCGACCUCCCACAGCCACUGUCUGACCCGCGUGACCUCUGCCCCUGACCCCUCAGCCACUGUCUGACCCGCGCGACCUCCAUCCCUGACCCCACACAACCUCUCAAUCUGCACAACCUCCUUAUUGAAAAGAGUCAGCCUAGUGAGGCAGUGGGCACUGGCCCAUUUUACAGAUGACGGGUUUCAAUAAAUUCAAAGAAUCUU
This is a long non-coding RNA of Bubalus bubalis (water buffalo), 5358 nucleotides long. RefSeq lists it as uncharacterized. The transcript is spliced from 2 exons. The record is from RefSeq and is a predicted model, not a curated record. Lineage: Eukaryota; Metazoa; Chordata; Mammalia; Artiodactyla; Bovidae.